Non-coding RNA from Mesocricetus auratus (golden hamster), 133 nucleotides. The record is from Rfam. NCBI's taxonomy places the organism in Eukaryota, Metazoa, Chordata, Mammalia, Rodentia, Cricetidae.
CUACAAGUAAUAAAUGUAAUUCAAUCUGCAAGAAUUUUUGAGGACUGAUAGGCACUGGAUACAGCAGCAUCCUGCUGGUGGUGCAUACAGCCUGCUGUUUUAUGAGCUUCCAUAAGGGACCUUAGAGACAGCA